This 460-nucleotide ribosomal RNA is filed under the name uncultured bacterium. Its description in RNAcentral is "partial 16S ribosomal RNA". It matches the Rfam family "Bacterial small subunit ribosomal RNA", at positions 338 to 795 of the family's 1533-position model. The record is from RNAcentral.
CCUACGGGGGGCAGCAGUGAGGAAUAUUGGUCAAUGGGCUUACGCCUGAACCAGCCAAGUCGCGUGAGGGAAGACUGCCCUAUGGGUUGUAAACCUCUUUUGUCAGGGAGCAACGCCGGCUACGUGUAGCCGGACUGAGAGUACCUGAAGAAAAAGCAUCGGCUAACUCCGUGCCAGCAGCCGCGGUAAUACGGAGGAUGCGAGCGUUAUCCGGAUUUAUUGGGGUUAAAGGGUGCGUAGGCGGAAUGCCAAGUCAGCGGUAAAAGCGCGGGGCUCAACCUCGCUCCGCAGUUGAAACUGGCGUUCUUGAGUGGGCGAGAAGUAUGCGGAAUGCGUGGUGUAGCGGUGAAAUGCAUAGAUAUCACGCAGAACUCCGAUUGCGAAGGCAGCAUACCGGCGCCCAACUGACGCUGAAGCACGAAAGCGUGGGUAUCGAACAGGAUUAGAUACCCUUGUAGUC